This 416-nucleotide ribosomal RNA is filed under the name uncultured bacterium. RNAcentral's name for it is "bacterial SSU rRNA". It matches the Rfam family "Bacterial small subunit ribosomal RNA", at positions 338 to 768 of the family's 1533-position model. The record is from RNAcentral.
CCUACGGGGUGCACCAGUGGGGAAUAUUCCGCAAUGGGGGAAACCCUGACGGAGCAACGCCGCGUGAGUGAAGAAGUUUUUAGGAAUGUAAAGCUCUGUCAUGAGGGAAGAAGAAAGUGACGGUGCCUCAUAAGAAAGCUCCGGCUAACUACGUGCCAGCAGCCGCGGUAAUACGUAGGGAGCGAGCGUUGUCCGGAAUUACUGGGCGUAAAGGGCGCGUAGGCGGUCUGUUAAGUCAAAUGUGAAAUACACUGGCUCAACCAGUGGGCUGCGUUUGAAACUGGCAGACUUGAGUGCAGGAGAGGAGAGUGGAAUUCCUGGUGUAGCGGUGAAAUGCGUAGAUAUCAGGAAGAACACCGGUGGCGAAGGCGGCUCUCUGGCCUGCAACUGACGCUGAGGCGCGAAAGCGUGGGUAG